RNAcentral lists this ribosomal RNA (165 nucleotides) under uncultured bacterium. RNAcentral's name for it is "partial 16S ribosomal RNA". The record is from RNAcentral.
AGGGGGACCGAUCAGCCCGCCGCGUGGUGUGAGAACGUCUCGGUGCGUAAAGUCCUUUCAUCUAAGGAAGAUACGCGCACGGCGGUUUAUAUAGCCUAAGGGCCGAGAUAUCUCUCGGCCAACAAGCGCCGGUCUUACGCCGUGCCAGCAGCCGCGGUAAUACGA